UACGGAGGGGGGCUAGCGUUGUUCGGAAUUACUGGGCGUAAAGCGCACGUAGGCGGCUUUGUAAGUAAGAGGUGAAAGCCUGGUGCUCAACACCAGAACUGCCUUUUAGACUGCAUCGCUUGAAUCCAGGAGAGGUGAGUGGAAUUCCGAGCGUAGAGGUGAAAUUCGUAGAUAUUCGGAAGAACACCAGUGGCGAAGGCGGCUCACUGGACUGGUAUUGACGCUGAGGUGCGAAAGCGUGGGGAGCAAACAGG
RNAcentral lists this ribosomal RNA (254 nucleotides) under uncultured bacterium. RNAcentral describes it as "partial 16S ribosomal RNA". It matches the Rfam family "Bacterial small subunit ribosomal RNA", at positions 524 to 776 of the family's 1533-position model. The record is from RNAcentral.